AUUGAACGCUGGCGGCAGGCUUAACACAUGCAAGUCGAACGGUAACAGGAAGAAACUUGUUUCUUUGCUGACGAGUGGCGGACGGGUGAGUAAUGCUUGGGAAUCUGCCUUAUGGAGGGGGAUAACUAUGGGAAACUGUAGCUAAUACCGCGUAAUAUCUUCGGAUUAAAGUAUGGGAUCUUCGGACCAUAUGCCAUAGGAUGAGCCCAAGUGAGAUUAGGUAGUUGGUGGGGUAAAGGCCUACCAAGCUUACGAUCUCUAGCUGGUUUGAGAGGAUGACCAGCCACACUGGGACUGAGACACGGCCCAGACUCCUACGGGAGGCAGCAGUGGGGAAUAUUGCACAAUGGGGGAAACCCUGAUGCAGCCAUGCCGCGUGAAUGAAGAAGGCCUUAGGGUUGUAAAGUUCUUUCAUUAGUGAGAAAGGAGUUGUUUCUAAUAGGGGCAACUAUUGAUGUUAGCUAAAGAAGAAGCACCGGCUAACUCCGUGCCAGCAGCCGCGGUAAUACGGAGGGUGCGAGCGUUAAUCGGAAUGACUGGGCGUAAAGGGCACGCAGGCGGUUAUUUAAGUCAGAUGUGAAAGCCCCGAGCUUAACUUGGGAAUUGCAUUUGAUACUGGGUAACUAGAGUCCUCUAGGGAGGGGUAGAAUUCCAUGUGUAGCGGUGAAAUGCGUAGAGAUGUGGAGGAAUACCGAAGGCGAAGGCAGCCCCUUGGAGAGAGACUGACGCUCAUGUGCGAAAGCGUGGGUAGCAAACAGG
Molecule: ribosomal RNA, 759 nt
Filed under: uncultured bacterium
Lineage: Bacteria
Description: bacterial SSU rRNA
Rfam family: Bacterial small subunit ribosomal RNA
Source: RNAcentral